UACGUAGGGGGCAAGCGUUGUCCGGAUUCAUUGGGCGUAAAGGGCGAGUAGGUGGUUACGCAAGUCGGAUGUGAAAACUCCAGGCUCAACCUGGAGACGCCACCCGAUACUGCAUUGACUAGAGUUCGGUAGGGGAUCACGGAAUACCUGGUGUAGCGGUGAAAUGCGCAGAUAUCAGGUGGAACACCGGUGGCGAAGGCGGUGAUCUGGGCCGACACUGACACUGAAUCGCGAAAGCGUGGGGAGCGAACAGGAUUAGAUACCCCCGUAGUCC
RNAcentral lists this ribosomal RNA (274 nucleotides) under uncultured bacterium. Its description in RNAcentral is "partial 16S ribosomal RNA". It matches the Rfam family "Bacterial small subunit ribosomal RNA", at positions 524 to 796 of the family's 1533-position model. The record is from RNAcentral.